UACAGGGAAUUUGGCCAAUUUUUGUCGAAAAUUACAAAUACCAAACACUACCAAAUUUUAGGUUAAAAUUGUUGCCUGCUUUUGAGAGAAAAAAACUACUUUAAAAUUGUCACCCACUUUGAGGUGAAUUGUUCCUAUAAUUGUUCCUAUUGUUAUUUGUAGAUUCAUUUUUCAUCUUUGGAGUAUCAUUUGAGACUUAAACAUCAGCCAGUUGAUGGUAAGAGUGUGAUUGGAAGAACUUGUAGAGAAAAUUUCUUUGUCGAUCGCAUGAUAAAAUUGACUGGCAAGUGAGACAUGCUUUUGAAACACAGACCAGCUGGUACUGCGAAAGAGGAUUAAUCAAAGAAUUGAUCUUAUAGGUGAAAUUUCAGAAGAAGAUGAUAUGUCUAAAUUUAUAAAUGUGACUCAAGAAAAGUCAAAGAUAUACCAAGAUCAACAGAAGUAUCAGCAACAUCAGAUUCAGACUACUCCUCUGCCUGACUGGCUAAUGAUUACAUUCUCUAUGCAUGCAUGCCAAACCAUUAUGCAAUUUAAAUCUGCUUUAAUAAUAAAACAUUGUCUAUUAAUUUUGUUCAGUA
Molecule: long non-coding RNA, 578 nt
Organism: Amphimedon queenslandica
Lineage: Eukaryota; Metazoa; Porifera; Demospongiae; Haplosclerida; Niphatidae
Exons: 3
Source: RefSeq, a predicted model, not a curated record